GACGAACUGUCCAAACGUUGUUCGGAAUCACUGGGCUUAAAGGGCGCGUAGGCGGUCGACCAAGUCAGGGGUGAAAUCCUGCAGCUUAACUGUAGAAGUGCCUUUGAUACUGGUCGUCUCGAGGGAGGUAGGGGUGUGUGGAACUUCCAGUGGAGCGGUGAAAUGCGUUGAUAUUGGAAGGAACGCCGGAGGCGAAAGCGACGCACUGGACCUCAUCUGACGCUGAGGCGCGAAAGCUAGGGGAGCAAACGGG
This 253-nucleotide ribosomal RNA is filed under the name uncultured bacterium. RNAcentral's name for it is "partial 16S ribosomal RNA". It matches the Rfam family "Bacterial small subunit ribosomal RNA", at positions 524 to 776 of the family's 1533-position model. The record is from RNAcentral.